Molecule: long non-coding RNA, 1318 nt
Organism: Clupea harengus (Atlantic herring)
Lineage: Eukaryota; Metazoa; Chordata; Actinopteri; Clupeiformes; Clupeidae
Source: Ensembl
CCCUCACCAGCAUAAGAGUGCAUCAAGGCUCUCAAGUGGAGUUAUAUAACCAGUAAUUCCCUAUCAGGAGCAGAUAACAUGCAAAAAGCAGGAGAUAUGGAAACGGGCUGGGCCCUGGCAAUAGCAGUAGGUAUGCAAACCCUCUCAGGCCAAGGGAACAUCUGGGGGCUGAGCACAGGAGAAGUGUGCCGUGACAUUUGGCGUGUAGAGUUUCACUACAGAGACUGGGGGUGUCAUCAGGCUGCGUAUCGCCCAUCUUUGGAAAAGGUCAAGUCUUUCUCUGGGAGACCCCUAAUUAAUGUCAAGACUUGCGAACAGCAUUGAGACUCUCUCAAUGAGAGAAAAUUAGACAUGUUGCCACCUUCUCGUUUAAUUUACUGUGCGGACAACUUGGUGUUUUCCAGCUCUGCCAGGGAACAAUCAUUCCCAUAAAUAAAAGAACAACAACAAAGGCCAGAUAUGAGUAUACUCAAAUGUCAGAAAUGUCGUGUCCCUUAUAGUCCACUGUUAAAAACCUCUUCAAUCACUUCUCUUAUCUGUUACAAUGGAUGAAAAUGUGUAAUUUGAGGAACAGCACAGGAGGAUGUAAAACUGCAGCUCUACCACAUUUGUGCCAAAACCUCGAACUGUGACAUUCAAGACCCAUAUGCAAACUGUCAAAACAAGGCCGUGUAACUCACAACCCCCACCAAGGAGAAAAGCCAAUCACACUCAUGCUGAACAUUUUCAUCCGCAGAAACCCUAAAGCGAAUAAAAAUGAGUGCAGUAUCACACACAACAGUGUAGCGUUAGCACGUUGGCGCGUUAGCUGCACUUACUCUCACACCUCCUAUGUAUCCCCAGUGGACAGCACAGUACGCCAGGUAUAAUUGCCAGCAGACAAAUGUGGGAUGAGUUAACCACACCAGACACUGUUAUGAAACCCUGGGUUCCCCCACCCCCUACUCCUCCAAAAGGCACAGUCAUCUGUACAAUCCAUCCCAGGUAUCAGAACAAGAUGUUCAGCUCGAGGCAUAGGACGCAAGGUGAAAUCUGGUUUGUGGACAUCUUGCGAGCACAUGGCUCGGAAGUGGGCGAUCUUGCACAUAUGCUUUGCUGUAACAAAUGAUCCCGCUUGACAUUAAUCACUUUUUAAUAAGAUCCACAUGGUAGCCAGGACAUUAGCUCGAGUGAUUUGAGUCACUGAAACAAUGGAAACAAUGAAAGCUAUCACAGUGUGUGACACAUAGGGGGCCCUAAGACAGCUAGAGUGUGUUAACUGGCAUACAUGACGCUAUUGGCAUUUCAAAAGAAUGCAGGUAUUUCAAUGACAUAGCAG